Non-coding RNA from Cebus imitator (Panamanian white-faced capuchin), 1510 nucleotides. NCBI's taxonomy places the organism in Eukaryota, Metazoa, Chordata, Mammalia, Primates, Cebidae. The record is from the annotation of a RefSeq genome assembly.
UCUGUGUUGAAAGCAGAGGAUUGAGCUUGCCUCUGACUGGCUAGGCAGGAACCUGAGACUAGGGGACAGAAGGACCAGAGACACACCCAGUAAAGAGAGCUUUCUCUUGACUGAGGAGCCUGGCUCCAUUUCAGGUCUUCUGUGAUUUCAAUAAGGAAGAAGAAUGGAGCCUCUCCUGGUGUCUUUGGUGAUUCUAUGGCUUCAAUUGGCCAGGGUGAACAGUCAGCAAGGAGAAGAGGAACCUCAGACCUUGAGCAUCCAGGAGGGUAAAAAUGCCAUCAUGAACUGCAGUUACAAAACUAGUAUACGCAGUUUACAGUGGUAUAGACAAGAUUCAAAUAGAGGCCUUACCCAACUAAUUUUAAUAUUUUCAAAUGAAAGAAAGAAAUAUAGUGGAAGAUUAAGAUUCAUGCUUGACACUUCCAUGAAAAGCAGUUCCUUGUUCAUCGCGGCUGCCCAGGCAGCAGACACUGCUGCUUACUUCUGUGCUACGGAAGCACAGUGUUCACCAGGAGCCUGCAGCCUCUACGCAAACCCUGCCAAAGCAGCUUCUUAGAAGCCCUAACAGUGGGUAGAGUUGGUGGUUAUGUCUUUCAGUGAAGAAGAAUCUACAAACAGCUGGCAAAGUGUAAGGGGAACCCUUUCAAAUUCAUGACUUUUUAAAAAGCAUCUUGGACUAGGGGAAAAGGCAUGAAAGUUGGAAUGGGAAAUGGAAGUGCCAGGCUUCGUUCUGCUGAUCCUGGCUAUGUAGCGACCUGGUCAGUGUAGCAGCCUUCAAUUUCCUCACUUGAAAUGAAGAAUUUAGAUCAAUGAGCCCAAAAUAUUACCUAAGUCCUAAUUUUAUUAGGGAAAAAAACCAAUCACUGGGCACUUGUGAAAGAGGAGGAAGGCUGCUCAGUUUUAGAAGGUCACAUUUGUGCUAUGUGCAGCCCUCCUAAGACGUCAGUGGGUCUUUGAGAUGCAUGAGAUGGUUCUUACAUUUCUCUAAUUCUUGUAUAAGAAGUAGUAGAUUCAUUAAGCAUUAGAUUUGGAAGGUGUCCUAGGACUCUCAACCAAGCUUUUCAUUUUAGAGCUGAGGAGAGACACCAUUGCAUAAUAAGACAAAGAUCUGAAUUUUCAGAGUGAUAUUGACAAAUAUCUGGAUCUGAUUUCACCAUUUAUUAGUUGUAUGAUUCCCAAGCUUCAAUGUCUCUAUUAGGUAAAAUGGGAGUUUAUAAGAAAGUAAUAAUUUUUUUCCAUCCAAAGGAAAGGUAGGUGUUCACCACUGCCAGGUCCUAAAAUGCUGUGUUUUGAAAGCAGGCAUUUCUAGUAUCAAAUACAUAACAGUUUUUCAGCCAUUUAUUCUUGCUUCUACUGAGAAAUAAAUGCUGACUCUAGUUUUCUUGACACAGCUUUGAUACUACCGAAAGUGUGUUUGUAGAGAAAAUUAGAGCAUUUGCAUUUAGGAGCAUGCCUUGGUGAGAAAAGUGGGAGAGCACAGGGAAAGGUUGUAUAGGACAGUGGUUCCCAC